RNAcentral lists this transfer RNA (67 nucleotides) under Anacanthotermes sp. Its description in RNAcentral is "tRNA-Asp". The record is from RNAcentral. Lineage: Eukaryota; Metazoa; Arthropoda; Insecta; Blattodea; Hodotermitidae.
GUAGGCUUAGUUAAAAAAUAACAUCAGCUUGUCAAGCUGAAAUUAUCCAACACUCAGAUACCCUACU